CUAAGUUUGGGCAGUAUGCUAGUAAUUUGUUCUGGAAGGAGCAGAACGUCGGCGCUGCAGAAGUCCUCACCUCACCUGUCGAGGGCCAGAGGAUUCCAUCACACCUGCGUUUCCCGGCAACAGCCAGGUGAAGAGCUGGUGAGUCUGGCUCUAUGGUGGGGCAGGCCGGUCUGGCUGUGAGCUGUUCUUCCCGGCCUGAUUCCUCCCGUGGUCUGGACUGGAGAAUUCCAGAAAGCCUACCCUGUCAAGCAGGGGGGUCAUGUGACGAUAUCCCAGCAUGCUCGCUGUUUUUGUUAUCCAAUCGAUAUGGAGCCUGGUAUUACUGCGUAUUGAAUAUUUAACAUUGAUCAGAGGGGCACACCCAGGCACCUGUUCACCAGAGCCAGGACACCCAGCCUUCCCGAGGACCGGGAACGGACGGUUUUCCGAUACCGGCUCGCCUGCCGGAGCCUUUUCCGGGAAUGGUAGCCGUCAGUUACUCCAGCCUACUGACACACAUCACUAAACUGAAUGUGAAGCAAAAUAUGUGAUUAAAACGUUUCAUAAUCGUACACUGCGGUUGUCAUACGUUUUCAGACAGAUGUACAUGUAUA
Anguilla rostrata (American eel) is the source of this 593-nucleotide long non-coding RNA. RefSeq lists it as uncharacterized. The record is from RefSeq and is a predicted model, not a curated record. The transcript has 3 exons. NCBI's taxonomy places the organism in Eukaryota, Metazoa, Chordata, Actinopteri, Anguilliformes, Anguillidae.